UACGUAGGGUGCGAGCGUUAAUCGGAAUUACUGGGCGUAAAGCGUGCGCAGGCGGCGCGUUAAGACAGGUGUGAAAGCCCCGAGCUUAACUUGGGAAUUGCGCUUGUGACUGGCGUGCUGGAGUGUGGCAGAGGGAGGUGGAAUUCCACGUGUAGCAGUGAAAUGCGUAGAGAUGCGGAGGAACACCGAUGGCGAAGGCAGCCCUCUGGGCCAACACUGACGCUCAGGCACGAAAGCGUGGGGAGCAAACAGG
RNAcentral lists this ribosomal RNA (253 nucleotides) under uncultured bacterium. RNAcentral's name for it is "partial 16S ribosomal RNA". It matches the Rfam family "Bacterial small subunit ribosomal RNA", at positions 524 to 776 of the family's 1533-position model. The record is from RNAcentral.